GUAGGGAAUCUUGCGCAAUGGGCGAAAGCCUGACGCAGCCAUGCCGCGUGAAUGAUGAAGGUCUUAGGAUUGUAAAAUUCUUUCACCGGGGACGAUAAUGACGGUACCCGGAGAAGAAGCCCCGGCUAACUUCGUGCCAGCAGCCGCGGUAAUACGAAGGGGGCUAGCGUUGCUCGGAAUUACUGGGCGUAAAGGGAGCGUAGGCGGAUAGUUUAGUCAGAGGUGAAAGCCCAGGGCUCAACCUUGGAAUUGCCUUUGAUACUGGCUAUCUUGAGUAUGGAAGAGGUAUGUGGAACUCCGAGUGUAGAGGUGAAAUUCGUAGAUAUUCGGAAGAACACCAGUGGCGAAGGCGACAUACUGGUCCAUUACUGACGCUGAGGCUCGAAAGCGUGGGGAGCAAACAGGAUUAGAUACCCUAGUAGUCC
This 425-nucleotide ribosomal RNA is filed under the name uncultured bacterium. RNAcentral's name for it is "bacterial SSU rRNA". It matches the Rfam family "Bacterial small subunit ribosomal RNA", at positions 354 to 796 of the family's 1533-position model. The record is from RNAcentral.